Non-coding RNA from Oryza sativa Japonica Group (Japanese rice), 216 nucleotides. The record is from RefSeq and is a predicted model, not a curated record. Lineage: Eukaryota; Viridiplantae; Streptophyta; Magnoliopsida; Poales; Poaceae.
GACCGAAUUGCCCAGCUCCAGGAUUCAAUCUUCGAGCUAAGUGGUUCAUCAAAAGCACAAGCUACCAGGAUGGCACAAAUGGAGAAACAGAUUGAAGCCUUGAAAAGAGACAAAGUAGAACUAGCUGUGCAAAGGGACUCAGCCUUGAAGGAGGUUGAAGACCGUAAAAUCAAAUCUCAAGCUCAGUUUGAUGUCCUGGUUGGUAAGAUCAAGAAG